UGAAUAUAGGACGUCCAACUUAACUUGGAGUCCGAACUCUCACUUUCUAACCCUGUGCACUUGUUUGGGAUAGUAACUCUCGCAAGAGAGCGAACUCCUAUUCACUUAUAAACACAAAGUCUAUGAAUGUAUUAAAUUUUAUAACAAAAUAAAACUUUCAACAACGGAUCUCUUGGCUCUCGCAUCGAUGAAGAACGCAGCGAAAUGCGAUAAGUAAUGUGAAUUGCAGAAUUCAGUGAAUCAUCGAAUCUUUGAACGCACCUUGCGCUCCAUGGUAUUCCGUGGAGCAUGCCUGUUUGAGUGUCAUGAAUACUUCAACCCUCCUCUUUCUUAAUGAUUGAAGAGGUGUUUGGUUUCUGAGCGCUGCUGGCCUUUACGGUCUAGCUCGUUCGUAAUGCAUUAGCAUCCGCAAUCGAACUUCGGAUUGACUUGGCGUAAUAGACUAUUCGCUGAGGAAUUCUAGUCUUCGGAUUAGAGCCGGGUUGGGUUAAAGGAAGCUUCUAAUCAGAAUGUCUACAUUUUAAGAUUAGAUCUCAAAUCAGGUAGGACUACCCGCUGAACUUAAGCAUAUCAAUAAGCGGAGGAAAAGAAACUAACAAGGAUUCCCCUAGUAGCGGCGAGCGAAGCGGGAAGAGCUCAAAUUUAUAAUCUGGCACCUUCGGUGUCCGAGUUGUAAUCUCUAGAAAUGUUUUCCGCGUUGGACCGCACACAAGUCUGUUGGAAUACAGCGGCAUAGUGGUGAGACCCCCGUAUAUGGUGCGGACGCCCAGCGCUUUGUGAUACAUUUUCGAAGAGUCGAGUUGUUUGGGAAUGCAGCUCAAAUUGGGUGGUAAAUUCCAUCUAAAGCUAAAUAUUGGCGAGAGACCGAUAGCGAACAAGUACCGUGAGGGAAAGAUGAAAAGCACUUUGGAAAGAGAGUUAACAGUACGUGAAAUUGUUGGAAGGGAAACGCUUGAAGUCAGACUUGCUUGCCGAGCAAUCGGUUUGCAGGCCAGCAUCAGUUUUCCGGGAUGGAUAAUGGUAGAGAGAAGGUAGCAGUUUCGGCUGUGUUAUAGCUCUCUGCUGGAUACAUCUUGGGGGACUGAGGAACGCAGUGUGCCUUUGGCGGGGGUUUCGACCUCUUC
RNAcentral lists this ribosomal RNA (1124 nucleotides) under Rhodotorula mucilaginosa. Its description in RNAcentral is "eukaryotic LSU rRNA". The stretch from base 529 to 1124 matches the Rfam family "Eukaryotic large subunit ribosomal RNA", at positions 1 to 612 of the family's 3401-position model. Lineage: Eukaryota; Fungi; Basidiomycota; Microbotryomycetes; Sporidiobolales; Sporidiobolaceae. The record is from RNAcentral.